Molecule: long non-coding RNA, 1917 nt
Organism: Macaca fascicularis (crab-eating macaque)
Lineage: Eukaryota; Metazoa; Chordata; Mammalia; Primates; Cercopithecidae
Source: Ensembl
CCUGCUCUUAGGCAGGUCUUGUUUCGCAUCCUGCCCUGUUUGGGGCUCUGAACGUGCCCCCUUCCAAUGCUGCAGGGAUUAGAUGGGGUCUGGGAUAGACCUUUGGUUCCAUGGCAGGUGAUCCGGGAUUGUAGCAGGCAUUACUUACACUCACCAAUAUUUCUAGGUCUUUCCUCUUUUGUGGACACACAUUAGACUACAUUUCCCAGCAUCCUUAGGGAACAGCAGUGUGACCAGUUCUGACCAAUGAGCACUGAGGACAGGUGCUGUCCUAACAGCAGAUGCACAAUUUUCCAUGCUCUCUUCCUCUUCCAUAGGGAACCCUGAAGCUUCACAUCGAGAUGGAGGAGUCUGAAAUACUGAGACCUCAUUUGGACAUCAAGCCACCCUAGAAGGUCUCCUGACCCCCUAGUGGACUCUGUGGUUGAAAAGUAAACUUCUGUAGUGCAAAGGCACUGAGAUGUUGAUUUUGGAUCAGGCAUAGUGGCUCACACCUAUAAUUCCAGCACUUUGGGAGGUUGAGGCAGGAGAACUGCUUGAGGCCAGGAGUUUGAGACUAGCCUGGGCAACAUAGCAAGACCUCAUCUCUCCAAUCUUUUUUUUUUUUAAAUCAGCCAGGUGUGGUGGUGCAUACCUGUGGUCCCAGCUACUAGAGAGGCUGAGGCAGGAGGAUCACUUGAGCCCAGGAGUUGGAGGCUGUAGUGAGCUAUGAUUGCACCACUGUACUCCAACCUGGGCAACAGAGCUAGACCCUGUCUCAACAACAACAACAACAAAAAAUAUUGAGUUUGUUUGUUAUAGCAGCAGAGCCUGUUGUGGGUACAGAAAGAAAGUCACAGCUUUGGAAGAUCUGGACAUUGGUGAUGGAGGGAAGCUGGAGUUGAGUCCUGUGUGUAUAUGAGCGUGUGUACCUGGCCACAGAGGCUGGUCUGCUCAGGGUCAGAAAAGCCCAUUCGGGGGAUCAGGCUAGGAUACAUGAUAGAGGAGACACUCCUGAGGGGGUUAAUUUGGAAGGGGUUAGGACUGGACCAAGCUUGGGCACUGGAGGAGGCCAGAGUGGGUGAGGACCUGAUGCCUGGGCAGUGGGCUGGGAGGCAUUUCUGCAAUAGUCAAACUCCAACAGAGUUUCCAGGCUCCCUGACCUCCCAAACCUGACGGCCAAGUGUUGCUGGGGCAGAACUGAGCAGAUUCCCUUCUGCGGAGGAAAAGUCUGUGAGCUUGAUAACACAACAGGGUGACUAUAGUCAAUAACUUAAUUGUACAUUUUAAAAUAACUUAGGCCAGGCACAGUAGUUCAUGCCUAUAAUUCCAGCACUUUUGGGAGGCCGAGGUAGGCAGAUCUCCUGAGGUCAGGAGUUCGAGACCAGCCUGGACAACAUACAUAGUGAAACCGUGUCUCUACUGUAAAUACAAAAAUUAGCCAGGCAUGGUGGUGGGCUCCUGUAAUCCCAGCUCCUUGGGAGGUUGAGGCAGGAGAAUUGCUUAAACCCGGGAGGCAGAGGUUGCAGUGAGCUGAGAUUGCACCACUGUACUCCAGUCUGGGUAACAGAGUGAGACUCCAUCUCCAAAAAAAAUAAAUACAAAGUUAAAGAGUGUAGAUGGAUUUCUUAUAACUCAAAGGAUAAAUGCUUGAGGGGAUGGGUACCCCAUUGUCCAUGACAUGUUUAUUUCACAUUGCAUGCCUGUAUCAAAAUAUCUCAGAUACCCCAUAAAUAUAUACAUCUACUAGGUACCUACAAAAAUUAAAAAUGAAAAUAAUGUAAAAAAAGUCAGCCGGAGUGGUGGCUCACUUGUAAUCCCAGCACUUUGGGAGGCCGCAGCAGGUGGAUCACAAGGUCAGGAGUUGAAGACCAGCCUGGCCAAUAUGGUGAAACCCCAUCUCUACUAAGAAUACCAAAAAAAAAAAAAAAAAAAAAA